GUUAUGUACAGAACUCAAACAGUUCCAGCUGCGUCUGCUAGCCUUUUGUGAUUCUUGCAUUUUACUAGCUGGCCUUCCCUGUCUUCAUGUGCAUCCUGAUGAGCAAAAGGGAUGCUGGAUGUUGAGUUGGGAUGGACUUCUUAGAGUGAUUGUGUUGGUCAGGGUUUAGUGACAGGUUACCAACAAUUACCAGAAUUUUAGCAAAGCCAAAGCUCUCUGUCUGAGACCAAGGAUCAUGCCUAAAGUUGACCAAGAUUUUACUUGCUGUUUGUCUCCUUGUCCUGGCUUUAUUUGCUGAGCUGUCUGAGCUGCCUGCCUGCUCUGUCACUAGGUGUCAUGUGGUGCCGGUCCCUUUGCCUCUCUUCUUAACCAGUGCUCCUUAGAUGUGAAGCCCUACUCUGGAUUUUACUGUAAGGUUUUUAUGGAUCUGUUCUUCCUAAUCAUGGUAGUCCUCUUAGCUCUUCCUGUGACAGAGUUGCCGAUGGCCACCACUUUGCCCUUCUUCCUUUCUCUGUGAGCAUGCUUUACCUAGUGUAAAACUUGAAAGGAGGAAGUUAGAUAGCUUAGAUUUGAAGUCGCCCAUUGGGACUUUGGGACUUUUCACAUUGGGACUUUCAAGAGAUGAUGUCUAUGAUUACCGUAUAAGUAGCAAUUCCUGUGAUUCCAAUGGCCUUGAUACCUCUCUACUUUGGCUUGAGUAGAACACUUCUGUAACAUGCCCACUAUGACUAGAGAUGGAUGACUGACUUGCUCACUAAUACUUCUCUGAGGUUUUGAAAACUGGGAAUCUGAGAGGCUGGUGUUUAAAUAAGAGAAUCUAUAAACCUCUCGUUUUUUAACAGUUGUAGGUUCCCUAGCACUUGUGAAAGUGGUACAGGGUCACCUUGCAUAAAACUGUCCAGACCAAGAAACUUCAGACUCUGUCUCUUCGUCUGAGAACAAACUCCUGCCAUGCCGUGGCUCUGUAGUGUGUUGCUACAAGUUAAGAGAUACCAAUACAUGUCCACCCUGUACCAGGUACUGUCUUAAGUUGGGGACAUUCAUUUUAAUUUCUUAAGGGUCACACACUUCUGAGGAACUGAUAAUUGCUAUAGGCCUUUUCUCCCAAACAUAAAGAUAUUCAAGAUUCUGUAUACAGCUUUAUGAGUCCACAUAUUUUAAGACUUUAGUUGAGAAGACACAGGGUUUUUGUUUUUUUUUUUUUUUUUAAACUGGGCAGUGGAGGCAGAGGUGGGAAGAUCUCUUGUGAUUUUUGAAGCCAGCCUGGCCUUUGGACCAAGUUUCAAGACAGUCAGAAUACACAGAAAAUCUAUGUUGAAGCCUCCACUCUUCUUCCUAAAAAAGAAGACAUUGUCCUCUCUGAAUUCAGCCCCACUGAAGUGGCAUGCAGUAGGGAAGUAGAUGUACUGUCUACCCUGGGUGAAAGGCCUUAGUGAAGGGAACAGAUAGUUUGACUGUGAAUGAGACAAGGAGACAGGAUGCUGAGGGCUAAUGUUCCUGGAAUCUGAAGUUGAAGAAUAGGAAAGCUAAAUCAGAGGUCUGAAAAGGUACUAGAGAGAUACUCAGGGGUUGAGUGCAAUAUUUGUAUACCAUUCUUCCUAAGGACUUAAGUUUGGUUCCCAGCCCCCAAGUCAAGUGACUGGCUCACAAUUGCCUGGAAUACCAGCUUCCAGGGAAUCUCAUGCUUUUGGUCUUUGGGACAUUUUUCCUAACAUACAUAUAUACACACAAGGAUGGACACACACAAACACACACAUGGUCAUAAUUAAAAAUAAAAUGUUUCUAAGUCUUCUUAAUAAAAAGAUCUGGAAAACCAGAAGAAACCAAACCAGCAAACAUGCACAGUGUAUUUUAUAAUGGUUGAGGAUUCUGAUCUUGCCACAGUUGUGGAAGAUGAACUGGGAGGUGGGCUGGAUGUAACACUGAAAAGGGGGCUGUGUGUAGAAUGGAUGAGAACUGGACAAGUUUCUCACUUUGUGAAUUUUAGAAUGUUAUAAUGGCUGUUUAAUACUGUACUCAAGGAAGUUUGUUCUUUCUUUAGUUCAGUGGCUCGGUGGUUUACGAGUGCACAGUGAGUUGCAUAGGC
This 2086-nucleotide long non-coding RNA is filed under the name Mus musculus (house mouse). RNAcentral's name for it is "long non-coding RNA chr14:63627266-63629352". The record is from RNAcentral. Lineage: Eukaryota; Metazoa; Chordata; Mammalia; Rodentia; Muridae.